RNAcentral lists this long non-coding RNA (242 nucleotides) under Lathyrus oleraceus (garden pea). RNAcentral describes it as "Pisum sativum (pea) long non-coding RNA (PSAT_LNC001745)". The record is from RNAcentral. Lineage: Eukaryota; Viridiplantae; Streptophyta; Magnoliopsida; Fabales; Fabaceae.
UGGAUGUCCAUCCCCUCAUAUAUUUCAUUUGUAAAAGAAGUUAAUAUUAGUUUGAUUUCUAAAAUAAUUUGAUUUAUGUAAAAGGAUCUAUUUACAAGUAAAAAAAUUAUUAUUUUUUGUAUUUUGAAUUUGAAAUGCGUGAACUAAAAUAUUUUUGGAUUUAUAUGAAAAAGAAAUAUUUUGGUAAUUUUAUUAUUGACUAACCUAAAGAAAUUAAAUAUUUAAACAUAUUAACUAUAACC